RNAcentral lists this ribosomal RNA (425 nucleotides) under uncultured bacterium. RNAcentral describes it as "partial 16S ribosomal RNA". It matches the Rfam family "Bacterial small subunit ribosomal RNA", at positions 354 to 796 of the family's 1533-position model. The record is from RNAcentral.
GUUAGGAAUAUUGGACAAUGGGCGCAAGCCUGAUCCAGCCAUGCCGCGUGAGUGAUGAAGGCCUUCGGGUUGUAAAGCUCUUUAGCCGAUGAUUAUAAUGACUGUAGUCGGAAAAUAAGCCCCGGAUAACUUCGUGCCAGCAGCCGCGGUAAUACGAAGGGGGCGAGCGUUAUUCGGAAUCACUGGGCGUAAAGCGUGCGUAGGCGGCUUUGCAAGUUGGGAGUGAAAGCCCAGGGCUCAACCCUGGAAUUGCUCUCAAAACUGCAAGGCUCGAAUUCGGGAGAGGAUAGCGGAAUUGUCAGUGUAGCAGUGAAAUGCGUAGAUAUUGACAGGAACACCAGUGGCGUAAGCGGCUAUCUGGACCGAUAUUGACGCUGAGGCACGAAAGCGUGGGGAUCAAACAGGAUUAGAAACCCUAGUAGUCC